AUGAAGCGAGAAGUCGACGCGCCGAUCUCGGCGUCCGGCCCUCCGCAAGCGCCCGCGGGAGUUCGGGUUCCGGACCCGGUCCGAUCCCGUUCCCUCCGUGGGGCUGUUUGCGACCGGGAGGUGUCCUCGGACGGCGUCGUUUUUUCUCCAGUCCGCGACGCUACGGCUUGGAUGGCCUACCCGACCCGUCUUGAAACACGGACCAAGGAGUCUAACAUGCGCGCGAGUCGUUGGGUCGGACGCGCUCCGCUAAACCCAUAGGCGAAAUGAAAGUGAAGGCCCCCCCUGGGUGCCGAGGGAGGACGGAGCGAGUCCCGUCGCCUUCCGCGUCGGGACGGCUCCCGCACUCCCGGGGCGUCUGAUUCCUCACUGCGAGGGAAGGCGCACCCAGAGCGCACACGUUGGGACCCGAAAGAUGGUGAACUAUGCCUGGCCAGGACGAAGUCAGGGGAAACCCUGAUGGAGGUCCGUAGCGAUUCUGACGUGCAAAUCGAUCGUCGGAGCUGGGGAUAGGGGCGAAAGACUAAUCGAACCAUCUAGUAGCUGGUUCCCUCCGAAGUUUCCCUCAGGAUAGCUUGCGCUCGGAGGAGAGUCUCAUCCGGUAAAGCGAAUGAUUAGAGGCCUUGGGGCCGAAACGGCUUCAACCUAUUCUCAAACUUUAAAUGGGUGAGAACUCCGGCUUGCUCGAUGAACUUGUUUGAAGCCGGAGACGGGGCCACGAGCCCCCAGGAUCGGAGUGCAUAGUGGGCCACUUUUGGUAAGCAGAACUGGCGCUGUGGGAUGAACCAAACGACGGGUUAAGGCGCCCGAAUCGACGCUCAUGGGAAACCAUGAAAGGUGUUGGUUGCUUAAGACAGCAGGACGGUGGCCAUGGAAGUCGGAAUCCGCUAAGGAGUGUGUAACAACUCACCUGCCGAAGCAACUAGCCCUGAAAAUGGAUGGCGCUGAAGCGUCGUGCCUAUACCCGGCCGUCGCGGCAGGGCGGGCCCCGCGAGGGGUGCCGCUUGAUGCGGCGACGAGUAGGAGGGUCGCGGCGGCGUGCGCAGAAGGGUCUGGGCUCGAGCCUACCUGGAGCCGCCGCCGGUGCAGAUCUUGGUGGUAGUAGCAAAUACUCCAGCGAGGCCCUGGAGGACUGAUGUGGAGAAGGGUUUCGUGUGAACAGCCGUUGCACACGAGUCAGUCGAUCCUAAGCCCUAGGAGAAAUCCGAUACCAACGGCGAUGGGAAGAAAGAAAGAGAAAACGUCCCAUUGAUCGGGCGAAAGGGAAUCCGGUUCCUAUUCCGGAACCCGGCAGCGGAACCGCUGUUUGUCGGGCCCUCACAAGGGGUUCGUCAGGGUAACCUAAAAGGGCCCGGAGACGCCGUCGGGAGCCCCGGAAAGAGUUUUCUUUUCUGCCUGAGCGUUCGAGUUCCCUG
This 1415-nucleotide ribosomal RNA is filed under the name Perissolestes guianensis. RNAcentral's name for it is "eukaryotic LSU rRNA". It matches the Rfam family "Eukaryotic large subunit ribosomal RNA", at positions 602 to 1722 of the family's 3401-position model. Lineage: Eukaryota; Metazoa; Arthropoda; Insecta; Odonata; Perilestidae. The record is from RNAcentral.